AUGCGACUGGCGGCGGAGCGGCCGCGGCCCGAGCUAGGAUUGGCGGUUAGGCUUGCCAAUCCUCCCGGAGUAAACACCGCCCUCCCGAGUUGGCAUCCCUCUGAGCGCCCUCCGGCUUUCUUGUCUCCCUCGCAGCAGCCUACCCCCCCCCCGCCCCAAUUCCCUUCUCCGGCUCUCGUCACCCCGCCUUCCCUCCCUCCCUCGCCCGGCCGCGUUUGGCCUUGUCGGCGAAGCGAAGCGGUCUGGCGGCGGCUGUGGUGGGGACUCUCCAAAGCCAGUCGGCUCGGCCCGUUCGCUCUUCCUCCCCGUCUUCUUCAAGGGGGCCCCUGGUGGCCUCGAGGAGAAACCACGGGCGUUCUGGGCCGGUGGGGGCGGCGGCAGGUGGGGGCCACUGCUGCUGCCGCCGCGAGCCCCGCCCCUCCAGCAGUAUUAGAAAUUCCCCAGGUGCCAGGUGUGUUUUGCGACUGGUGUGGAUCCAACUGCGACCACGUGGGGAUUUCUGGGUGCUUGGUUGGUGACUGACAUCUGACUGGCUGUUCCAACUUUCUUAAACAGGUACAUUUAUAUCCCACCUUUUUCUCCAAGGAGCACAUAGUUUACUCCCCUCCUCAAUUAAUCCCCACAAAGACCCUGUGAGGUAGGUUAAGAGGCUGUAAUUGGCUCAUGAUUUAGUGGGGAUUUGAACCUUCAUCUCCCAGGUCCUAGUCUCCUAGUCUGACACUCUAACCACUAUACCACACUGGCUUCCUAGAGUACUUCUGCUAUGGGGCAGCUAUAUCAAUUAAGUAGGUAAAUAGUAUGGAGAAAGCAAAUGUCUCUUUGAGAAGGCUCUGAAAUAUUUUCCUUGAAGCUUGAAUUUGUUUUAAUUUGGAUUGUUUUAUUUGCUGUUUUAAUGUAUUGUAAGCCACUUGGAGAUUUUUUUUCUUUAAAAUAUAAAGUGGUAGAAAUGAAAUGAAUAAUGAUGAUGAUUAUAGGAAUAAUAAAUCCUACCACUUAAAAAAAAAGGCACCUAGACAUUCUGUUUUGGUGACUGUAACCUAGGUUUAAGGUGCCAUUUGGUGAUUAGCUUAUAUAUCUCAAUUUCUAACACUGCCUAUUACCACUGAUGCCUCACUAUUUGCUGUGCCUCUGUUACCACUUGUGCACACAUGAGUUUCUGUUGGGGUGUGUGUGUGUGUGUGUGUGCGCGCACGUGCGCAUGUGAAGGAACACCAGUUAACCAAUAGGCAUUGACAAUGUAAUGAACACGGGGAUGACUGAUGGAAUAAAGGGUCUAGGUAAAACAAAAGACAUCCUUUGUGAGGCAUGUAGGCGAGCAAUUAAUUGCCCAAGGCAAUUCUUUUUAUUCAUUUAUUUCCGUCCAGCCAUUCUAGAUUGGCAAACCUUACAAUACAAACUUCUCAAGUUGACUUACAAUAUCCCAUAAAUCAACUAAUAUUUAAUAAUAAUAAUAAGCAGAAACACUGCAGCAAUUAAAAGCCUUAAUUAACCUAUCAAAAGUUAUUAAAAGUCUGAGAAGCCGAAACAGUUUGUACUUUAUGCCUAAAAGCUGUUUGAUUCAGCAUCAGGUAAGCAGAUAAGACAAGGGAGUUCUGCAGAUGUAAUUGGUUCAUGCCCUGUUCUUCAUUAACCAAUUACAUUAUCCCACUAGGUUUGUAUGGGGAAAUACAGUAUAGUACUUGAGCAAGCUGUAAUGCUCUGUGGGAGAUGUUGUAUGAUUUAUAAUUGUAAUUUUAUUGGUUUAAUUGUAUUUUUUCACAUCGUAUUUUCUUGUAUUACAAUGCACAUUCCAUAAUAUUUAAAUUACAAUACAAUAAAAUACCAUGUAAGAAAUAAAAAGCAACUAAAAUACAAUUAAGAAUCAAUAUGAAUCAAUAUGAAUAUUUAACAUGGGUCAUCUGAAUGAGUGUUCAUGAUCCACAGUUUAGGAACUUGCUCCUUAUAAUUUGCAUUUGUAUAUCUGUUUGCCUGAUGACAUUGCAACAUUUUGGAUGAUUUUAGUUGUCACUUUAUUAGAACUGAAAUAUGCAGUUCAAAUUCUCAGGGUCCAGCAUAAAAAAAUAUAAGUAUAUUGAUGAUCUGAUGCCUGGAAUCUUUACAUCACUGAUAACAUUAGCCUACCAUACAGCUGGACAUGGGUGGCACUGUGAGUUAAACCACAGAGCCUAGGACUUGCCAAUCAGAAGGUCAGUGGUUUGAAUCCACACGACAGGGUAAGCUCCCGUUGCUGGGUCCCUUCUCCUG
Molecule: long non-coding RNA, 2244 nt
Organism: Podarcis muralis (Common wall lizard)
Lineage: Eukaryota; Metazoa; Chordata; Lepidosauria; Squamata; Lacertidae
Source: Ensembl